This 292-nucleotide ribosomal RNA is filed under the name uncultured bacterium. RNAcentral's name for it is "partial 16S ribosomal RNA". It matches the Rfam family "Bacterial small subunit ribosomal RNA", at positions 505 to 796 of the family's 1533-position model. The record is from RNAcentral.
GUGCCAGCAGCCGCGGUAAUACGUAGGGACCGAGCGUUGUCCGGAAUCAUUGGGCGUAAAGAGCGUGUAGGCGGCCAAUUAAGUCCUGCGUGAAAUCUCGGGGCUCAACCCCGAGCGGUCGUGGGAAACUGGUUGGCUAGAGUGCGGGAGAGGAGAGUGGAAUUCCUGGUGUAGCGGUGAAAUGCGCAGAUAUCAGGAAGAACACCCGUGGCGAAGGCGGCUCUCUGGAACGCAACUGACGCUGAGACGCGAAAGCGUGGGGAGCAAACAGGAUUAGAUACCCUUGUAGUCC